Long non-coding RNA from Oncorhynchus kisutch (coho salmon), 2956 nucleotides. RefSeq lists it as uncharacterized. The transcript is spliced from 2 exons. Lineage: Eukaryota; Metazoa; Chordata; Actinopteri; Salmoniformes; Salmonidae. The record is from RefSeq and is a predicted model, not a curated record.
GCUGUGGGAGUUUUGGAAGAUUGGUCUCUGAUAAGAGGGUUUAGGAUGUCUGUGGCCAAGUCUUGCUUUAUGGUGUAUUCUAGGAGGAAGGUUUUAACCUCUUAAAUAUAAAAUACCUUAUUUGAUUGUAUUUGUUUUAUUCAAUUCAGUCUGGUAUGAGAACGGUAACCCCUAUCUGCAAAAGCAGGGUGUCUGCGGAAAGCUGAGUAUCUUGGCUAUUGAUCGGUGCUUUCAAAUCUUUGGUGUGACUUACUACCAUAUAUGGGCAUACAACUGUAUAAAGGCAGGCCAAACCAAUGACCUCGUUUCAAGAUGGUUGCUAACUACAUUCAGGUUAGCGUUGUGAAGAACAAACGAAAUAAACACAAAAUAUGUUGAUACACACUGAAAGCCGGGACUCCACAGAUCAUGAGGAUAUCUUAUUUGUCUGCCUGUGACCUACCGUUAUUGAUCACCAGCCCCGAGAAUCAAAAUGUUUAUUUUACACAACAUUUUCACCAAACAGCAAACAUCUUGCAAGAGUGGAGGAUGCAGAGGAUUUGGAUGAUGACGUUAGGGAGAGACCCCUCCCCAGCAAGUGCUGCCACCAGUCAAGGUCUUCACCCCCACUGCAAUGUCAAUCACCCGUCUGAUGGUUCUACAACCACCACUCGACAAAGACCCCACUCCUUUUCAACCCCCCCCACUGCAGGCCCUGGCACCACUUCCCACUGCAAGUUCAUCUGGAGGUGCAGGGCAAGGAGGAGAUCUAGGCUUCAACAGAGGAAAGGCAGUGGAAGCAGCACAACAGAGGGCGAAGAAACUGAGGGCCGGUGGCAUACGGUCCUUGAGGAUGAUGAGGAGCCAGAACAAUAUAGGUUUAAACCCAAAAGACCGGAAGGCCCACAGUUGCAGCAGGGGGGAAGGAAGAUGUCCUAGAAACCUGUCACCAUGGUUGUCAUGCUCAGCUACAUUUCCUUGGUGAUUUACAUGGGACUGGUAAAGGUAUCAAGACGAGUUGACAACUGGAGCAAGUCCCCACUAUCGGUGCCAGUUCCCCACCUCCAUCAUUAGUGAAAACCGAUUCUUGGCCAUCAACCGUACUCUUCACAUGAGUGAUCCACAAAAGGAUCAGGAGAAUGACCAGAAGAAGGGCACUGCAGGGUAUGAUUGUAUUGCAAGAGUCAUGGUGGGCAUGCAAAACGUACUUCUAUGCCUGCUCAAAAUUAAUCUAUAGAUGAGCGCAUGGUUGCCUCAAAGGCUUGAAUUGUCUUGAAGCAAUAUAUGAAAAAUAAGCAGACCAAAUGGGGCUAGCUCUUUGUGCUAGCCGAUUCAGCCUAUGCCUACACGUGGAACUUUUCAUCUAUGAAGGCAAGGUGAUCACACCCACUGGGAAGGGCCUUAGUUAUGACUCUGUCAUGCAGCUGAUGGACUUCACCUUACUUGGCAGUGGGUACAAGUUCUUUGUGGAUAAUUUUUAUACUCGUCCCAUGCUUUUCAUAGACCUCUUGAAAAAGAAAAUGGGGGCUUGUGGCACCAUUCGUCCUAACAGAAUAGGUUUCCCCAAGACCAAGGUAAACGACAUGGCAAAGACAGUGGAGAAGGGGACCGCACGUUGGAUCAGGACUAACACGCUGCUUUUUGUGAAAUGGAAGGACACUAGGGAAGCAACCAAGCUCCCCACACAGCAUAAGGCAUUCAAUAACAGGGCAUGGGUGAGGAAGAAUGUCCCUGUUUCUAUGAAUGACUACAAUUCCAGCAGGUUGACACCCUCAAUAUCUGUUGCUCUCAUAGGCUACCACCAGGUCCUCCACUAGACCAGGAUGUGGUAUAAGACCUUUUUUUUACCACUUUGUGGACAUUUCUACAGUGAAUGCUUUCAUUCUGCACAAGCAGAUAGCCAAAGCAAAAAAGUAAAACCCCUCUCACAGUUGGCCUUCCGAGAGCAGCUGGUGUUGGAAAUGGCUGAAUUGGGGGCCCAAAGCAACCUCACAACCAUCACAAGACCCCCCACUCAAGGUGAGUGCCACUAUCCAACACACAUGACAAAAGAAAGAACUGCAAGCAUUGCACAAAACACAAGGGCCCAAAAAUUGUGAAAUGCCAGAUCGCUUUUUGUUUCCUGGCAGAGAGACUGCUUCAAAGACUAUCAUGACACGUACAAGCUAUGGUGAAAGUGAAAUCUAAUCAUCUACACCUGGGAUGUAAUAUGAACACGAAUGCCAUUUGCAAAUUGUUCAGCUUAUUUCUAAUUUUGCACACUUUUAGUGUAGGGCACGUGUGUAACUAAGUUUGUGUUUGAGACAUUUCUAUAAAUGUUUUAAUGUAUUGUAUGUCUGUUGCUUUUAUAUUGUUUUUGUAAACAGUUAAUUUGUAUGUGGGACCAAUACAUUGGACAUGCCUAGGCUAAACGUUCAGGCACUUUGGAGAGGUUGAAAGAACACUUGAAUAUCCCCUGUAUGUCCCCCGACACCACCACAAUGUUUGAGAGAGGUUGGUGUUGUAUUUCUUUUUUAAUGGUGAACAAAACCUUUAGCCACAUCCAGUGUGCAAACACAGUGCAAUUACCACAUUCAAACACUUUGGAGAGGUUGAAAAGACACUUGAAUGUACCCUGGAUACCCCAUAACACCACCACAAUGUUUUAGUGAGGAUGAUAUGUUAGAAAUUGUGUUUUUAUACUGAACAAAUGACAUUUAGGGAUUACAAAUAUGUAAUGGCACUUUAAUGAUCUAAUUUACAGACAUAUGCCACUUUGGAAAGUUCUAGGGACACUUGGAAACGUCCCGUCCCGUGACGAGACCUGACAUCACUUACUUAAACAUCUGCCAAUUUCUAGUUGGUAUCAAUCCCAUUUUUUUAUGAUAUUGUUCAUAUGUUGUGGAAGCCAUCUGUGUUUCCAGCUCUAGUCAUCAAUAAUUCUCUUAUAGCUUGUCAAUGAAAGAUGACUUUCAAAAUUAAAAAAAUUCAACAGUUA